Molecule: ribosomal RNA, 360 nt
Filed under: uncultured bacterium
Lineage: Bacteria
Description: partial 16S ribosomal RNA
Rfam family: Bacterial small subunit ribosomal RNA
Source: RNAcentral
CCUACGGGUGGCUGCAGUGAGGAAUAUUGGUCAAUGGCCGGAAGGCUGAACCAGCCAAGCCGCGUGAAGGACGAAGGUGCCAAGCAUUGUAAACUUCUUUUGUCAAGGGACAAAAUCAGGCUCGAGAGCCUUACCGACGGUACUUGAAGAAAAAGCAUCGGCUAACUCCGUGCCAGCAGCCGCGGUAAUACGGAGGAUGCGAGCGUUAUCCGGAUUUAUUGGGUUUAAAGGGUGCGUAGGCGGGCUGUUAAGUCAGCGGUAAAAGCCCGGGGCUAAACCCAGGAGAGCCGUUGAAACUGGUUGUCUUGAGAUGUCGAGAGGUAGGCGGAAUGCGCAGUGUAGCGGUGAAAUGCGGAGAGA